RNAcentral lists this ribosomal RNA (607 nucleotides) under Potamonautes sp. Gudu1. RNAcentral's name for it is "eukaryotic LSU rRNA". The stretch from base 471 to 607 matches the Rfam family "Eukaryotic large subunit ribosomal RNA", at positions 813 to 949 of the family's 3401-position model. RNAcentral also lists the same sequence under 3 other names. Lineage: Eukaryota; Metazoa; Arthropoda; Malacostraca; Decapoda; Potamonautidae. The record is from RNAcentral.
CUCACGGGGGUGGUGGUGGGCCUCGGUCGGCGCCCUCCGGGGCCGAUCCCCGACAGGCCGCAGCUGCCGCCGGCGUCUUUCCCACACCAAAGCGGAGCCGCGACGGGAGCGGCGCGGAGUGAGACCCUUUCCUCCGCGUCCGACUCCCGGCUCCGUGGGUACCCGGCCAGCGCGACGGUCCGGCUUUUCUCUCCUCUCCGGGGGAGGGUUAGCCGCCUGUUCGCAGGGGGGCGCAGGCCCGGGACUUGCCAUACGACGCCGUCGCGCGAAUCUGUUGUUGGCCUCACCGGCUCUGCUUGGGCUCUCGGUUGGCGGUCCGCGCGUCAGGCUGCUGCCGGGGACUUUAGGGCGGGCUCGUCCCGUCCGGGUCCUCGUCUCAGCCCCGCGCGGUUGUCUGCCUUCCGAUCCUGCUCUGUCCGGAGUGGCCUAGCGCGCGUGCUGUCGGCAAGUACCAUGAGCAGACAUGUUGGGACCCGAAAGAUGGUGAACUAUGCCUGGCCAGGAUGAAGCCAGAGGAAACUCUGGUGGAGGUCCGUAGCAAUUCUGACGUGCAAAUCGAUUGUCAGAGCUGGGUAUAGGGGCGAAAGACUAAUCGAACCAUCUAGUA